This 497-nucleotide ribosomal RNA is filed under the name uncultured bacterium. Its description in RNAcentral is "partial 16S ribosomal RNA". It matches the Rfam family "Bacterial small subunit ribosomal RNA", at positions 28 to 507 of the family's 1533-position model. The record is from RNAcentral.
GAUGAACGCUGGCGGCGUGCCUAAUACAUGCAAGUCGAGCGAACGGACGAGAAGCUUGCUUCUCUGAUGUUAGCGGCGGACGGGUGAGUAACACGUGGAUAACCUACCUAUAAGACUGGGAUAACUUCGGGAAACCGGAGCUAAUACCGGAUAAUAUUUUGAACCGCAUGGUUCAAAAGUGAAAGACGGUCUUGCUGUCACUUAUAGAUGGAUCCGCGCUGCAUUAGCUAGUUGGUACGGUAACGGCUUACCAAGGCAACGAUGCGUAGCCGACCUGAGAGGGUGAUCAGCCACACUGGAACUGAGACACGGUCCAGACUCCUACGGGAGGCAGCAGUAGGGAAUCUUCCGCAAUGGGCGAAAGCCUGACGGAGCAACGCCGCGUGAGUGAUGAAGGUCUUCGGAUCGUAAAACUCUGUUAUUAGGGAAGAACAUAUGUGUAAGUAACUGUGCACAUCUUGACGUUACCUAAUCAGAAAGCCACGGCUAACUACGUG